Molecule: long non-coding RNA, 407 nt
Filed under: Homo sapiens (human)
Lineage: Eukaryota; Metazoa; Chordata; Mammalia; Primates; Hominidae
Description: HSALNT0200024
Source: RNAcentral
GCAAAGGCAGUGAUGAGGCCGGAGUUAAGUAUGCUAUUAUAUGGGAAAAGUUAAGAGGGUAACUCUGAGAGCAGUAGAUGGUGACAGGGAAGAAAGUUAUGAAACCCGCUUCACCCCACCAGGCAUCUCUGUGACCUGCAUGUGGUCAAGUCCAGGCUCAGAGGAGGUCUUAAGACCCUCCUUUGCAAAGGGUCCUGCCUCAUACCCUGAGGGAAGGAAGGCUUCGGUAAAAACCCAAGCAGACUGGGUUAGGAGAGCUUCCUGACAGCUGUACACAUGGAGGCUCCUGGAGGGCUGGCACACCCAGAGGGGGCUUGGAAACUGCGUGCCCCUUCUCCCAAACCUCACCCUACACAUCUCUUUCUCUGCAUCCUUUGCAAUAUCCUUUAUAAUAAACUGGUAAACAU